GGUCUAAAUAAGAUUGAGUUUGUCAUUUAAAAAUAGGAGCAAACUUAGACAAUAGUUGGUACAAUCCUAGUACAAAUGGUACAAAAACUAUUCCAUUAAACUAUUUAUUGGUUGAAGUGGAAGUACGAAUGCACAUUCACUCUUUAAUACGUGGUGGUUGUAUUUUGUGUUAUUGUUCACAGAUUUCAUCAGUUUUGUUUUUCUCUCCAAAUGGACAUUUCUAUUCUCUUUUGAUGGUUAAAACCCUUAAAAACCUAAAUAGCGACUUUUUUUGUAUUUUUUCAUUAUUUUGACCUAUUAUCUAUCAGUUUAGGGUUGAUUGACGACCACCUUCUUCUCCCCUUUCCUUCUCUUCCUUUCUUCUCAUUUUUCAUUUUCUUUCUCUCGUUUUUUUCUCUCAUUUUCUCCUAUUAUCGUCGAGUUGUCAUCGAUGCUAGUGCCAUUGUCACCUUCUCACCAUCUACAACUCCCUUCUCCCUCUCUCCUCAAAAUACCCUUACUCUUGUUCCUUAUUGCACUUUUCGCCUCCUAUUAUCGAGUUUUCGUCAAUGUUUGUGUCACCGACACCUUCAAAUUAAAUGGGUUUUCUUUCUUUUACAUUCG
RNAcentral lists this long non-coding RNA (603 nucleotides) under Gossypium barbadense (sea-island cotton). RNAcentral describes it as "long non-coding RNA (GBAR_LNC004878)". Lineage: Eukaryota; Viridiplantae; Streptophyta; Magnoliopsida; Malvales; Malvaceae. The record is from RNAcentral.